CCUACGGGAGGCAGCAGUGGGGAAUAUUGCGCAAUGGGCGAAAGCCUGACGCAGCGACGCCGCGUGAGGGAUGAAGGUCUUCGGAUCGUAAACCUCUGUCAGCAGGGAAGAACGGUCACUGUGCUAAUCAGCAGUGAAUUGACGGUACCUGCAAAGGAAGCACCGGCUAACUCCGUGCCAGCAGCCUCGGUAAUACGGAGGGUGCGAGCGUUAAUCGGAAUUACUGGGCGUAAGGCGCUCGUAGGCGGUAUGUCAAGUCAAGGGUGAAAUCCCCGCGCUCAACGUGGGAACUGCCUUUGAAACUGGCAGACUGGAGUGUGUGAGAGGAUAGUGGAAUUCCAGGUGUAGGAGUGAAAUCCGUAGAUAUCUGGAGGAACAUCAGUGGCGAAGGCGACUAUCUGGCACAUAACUGACGCUGAGGAGCGAAAGCGUGGGUAGCAAACAGGAUUAGAUACCCGGGUAGUC
RNAcentral lists this ribosomal RNA (465 nucleotides) under uncultured bacterium. RNAcentral describes it as "partial 16S ribosomal RNA". It matches the Rfam family "Bacterial small subunit ribosomal RNA", at positions 338 to 795 of the family's 1533-position model. The record is from RNAcentral.